This is a long non-coding RNA of Cinclus cinclus, 2292 nucleotides long. RefSeq lists it as uncharacterized. Lineage: Eukaryota; Metazoa; Chordata; Aves; Passeriformes; Cinclidae. The record is from RefSeq and is a predicted model, not a curated record. The transcript has 2 exons.
CGGUCCCGGCCGGAGGGGACUGGGGAGACUGCGGAGGCCCCAGGCUCUGCCGACCCCGCCUCCCCGCGGCAUCCCUGGAGCCUGCCCCCGGGCACCGCUUCUGCUGCGCCGCCGGCUCGGAAGCUUUUCUUAGGAGGCGUGUCCCUUUUUUCCCCCAUUUAUUUGCCUGGGCAGCCGCAGCCGGAGCGGACCGGGUGACGGUGGGACCGGCUGUCUCGGCGGCAGCAGCUGCUGGCGCGGGAUCAGCGCCUGGUGGGAGCGCGGCAAUGGCUUCGCCACCCCCAGCCUUCCUCGAGCCCUGUAGGGAAUUCCUCCCUUCGGUGACCCAAAACAGGCUCCGUAUUGCUGCUGCAAGAUGGAGGCACAGCAUCGCACCACUCCCGCAGGAGCGGAGCAAAGCCGGUCAUCACGAGAACAGUUGAUGGACAGGGAACUGGAACAGCGAGCCAUCAGCUGGGAGCUGGCGGGGCUGCCAGCGCUGGCGUGGUCUCUCUCCCUGGAUCAUCCCACGAAAGGUCGCGACGUCAAUAAUGGGAGCCCUGCUACACACAAGAAAACAAGGACCAGACACAGCUUUAGGAAUCAAACCUUCUCACAGCCCCUGAAAUCCCGUCCAUAAUUCAGCCCAGUGCUUUUUCCCGACAGUGUUUACUCUGGGCAACAGACAAGGUCAGCAGUGCCUGCUCAAGGAGCCUGUAGCAGCUCUUACCUCGAGAGAGGAGCUUUUUAUAUUCCCAUCUCCUAUCCAUUUACUAUUCGUGCUCUACACGUGACUCUGGCUUUGCCACAGUCGGAUACGUGGAUAGCUUUCAAAGCCAUUUCAGAAAUCUGAACAACGCUGUCAUCUGAAAUAACUCAGGGAGCACUCAGAAAUCCGGUGGUGUCUAAAGCAAGCACAGUGCUUGCCCUGCUCGGACAAUACGGCUCCCUGGAGGUGUGAGCAGGGUGCCUGUGUCAGGCUGUACCCAGACGAGGAUGCCCGUGCCGGCGAUGUGCUAGGGCAAGCUGGAAAGCAUGGCUCCAGCAGAGAUCACAGAGGGCGACGUGGGAAUGUGGGAAGGAAGCACGGAGUGGGAACGAUGGUUCGGUGGUGCUUGGGGAGGAGAAACAUAUGGCAAUAUUUAUCUGGCCAGGCAGCGGUCUGCUGCUGCUUCGGAUGUGAGAUGAAGAACUCGUGUCAUGGGAAGAUUCAGGUCCUGAAACUGGAUGCUGACAGAUGUUAAACCACUGGGGGAAACAUUGAUGCCUCUAGAACCUGGUGGUAAGUAUAUUGUCAUGGGUGAUACCAGCCACACACCACCUGAGCUCGAGAUUGUUCCGGUGACACUUUUAGCAAAUCCAAGUGGUCUUGUUCUCUUGGCACGUUGUUUCCACCCACCAUUUUACCUAGCCAGGGCCCAGGUAAUUGCCCAGGCUAUUCCUAUUCCAUCAAAGAUCCCAGUAGACGAUCAGGCACCAGAAGUCUACUGGGCAGAAAUGGUGGGUGAGGACAACCCUAUGAUUCCCUGCCACAUUCAGCAGGGAAUGAAAAGCUUGUUAGACACAGGAGAAGAUGUGACGAUCAUCCCUGAAAGGGCAUGGCUGUCACAUUGGGAAUUGCAAAACGUAGCAGGCAAAAUACAGGGCAUAGGGGGUGCCCCAUUGGCAAGAAUAUGAAAAAAUGUCAUAUAAUUUGAGGGGCUGUAAAGGCAAUUGGCUAAUACACGGCCAACUGUUGGAGAUUAAAGGGUUCCCGUGUGGGGAAGGGACCUCAUGUCACAAUGGGGGGUACACAUUAAAAUCCCCAAAACCCCUUGGGAUUUUUAAGAGUGGCCACUGUGGAGUGUCCUACCCAGAAGCUGAAUUGGAUCAGUGAUGAGCCAGUAUGGGUAGCUCAGUGGCUGCUCAGCAAUGAAAAAUUGCAGGCGCUCAAUGAACUCGUGGAGGAGCACUUGACUCGAGGUAACAUUGAGGCAACAUUCAACCCUUGGAACUCCCCAGUUUUUGUUAUUAGAAAGCUGGGGACGAACAAGUGGUGGCUCCUCCACAAUCUCAGGAAAAUAAAUGAAGUCACUGUCAACAUGAGACCCCCUUCAAGCAGGGAUGCCCUCCCCAGCGAUGCUUCCCCAAAACUGGAAUCUGGCAGUUAUUGAUAUCAAAGGCUGUUUUUUCAGAAUUCCUCUUGACCCAGCUGAUGCCCUGUGUUUUUCAUUCUCAGUCCCAACCAAAACCCAAGAAGCUCCAUGAGAAAAUUCCAUUAAAAAGUGUUGCCACAAGGAGUGAAAGCUUCUCCUACCAUUUGGCAAUGGUACA